CCUACGGGUGGCAGCAGUGGGGAAUAUUGCACAAUGGGGGAAACCCUGAUGCAGCGACGCAGCGUGAGUGAAGAAGUAAUUCGUGAUGUAAAGCUCUAUCAGCAGGGAAGAAAAUGACGGUACCUGAGAAAGAAGCCCCGGCUAACUACGUGCCAGCAGCCGCGGUAAUACGGAGGGGGCAAGCGUUAUCCGGAGUUACGGGGUGUAAAGGGAGCGUAGACGGCAGUGCAAGUCUGGAGUGAAAGGCGGGGGCUCAACCCCCGGACUGCUCUGGAAACUGUACGGCUGGAGUGCAGGAGAGGUCAGUGGACUUCCUCGUGUCGCCGUUAAAUGCGUAGAUAUUAGGAG
Molecule: ribosomal RNA, 348 nt
Filed under: uncultured bacterium
Lineage: Bacteria
Description: partial 16S ribosomal RNA
Rfam family: Bacterial small subunit ribosomal RNA
Source: RNAcentral